CCUACGGGUGGCAGCAGUCGAGAAUCAUUCACAAUGGGGGAAACCCUGAUGGUGCGACGCCGCGUGGGGGAAUGAAGGUCUUCGGAUUGUAAACCCCUGUCAUGUGGGAGCAAAUUAAAAAGAUAGUACCACAAGAGGAAGAGACGGCUAACUCUGUGCCAGCAGCCGCGGUAAUACAGAGGUCUCAAGCGUUGUUCGGAAUCACUGGGCGUAAAGCGUGCGUAGGCUGUUUCGUAAGUCGUGGGUGAAAGGCGCGGGCUCAACCCGCGGACGGCAGAUGAAACUGCGAGACUAGAGUGAUGGAGGGGGAACCGGAAUUCUCGGUGUAGCAAUGAAAUGCGUAGAUAUCGAGAGGAACACUCGUGGCGAAGGCGGGUUCCUGGACAUUAACUGACGCUGAGGCACGAAGGCCAGGGGAGCGAAAGGGAUUAGAUACCCGUGUAGUC
Molecule: ribosomal RNA, 446 nt
Filed under: uncultured bacterium
Lineage: Bacteria
Description: partial 16S ribosomal RNA
Rfam family: Bacterial small subunit ribosomal RNA
Source: RNAcentral